AUUUUGCCGUUAUCACAUUAAAGAGUCAUCAAAAAUAUGGAGGUGUGGUAAAAAUUGCCAUGUAAUGAGACAUACAAAUGUAUAUCUAUCAGACUGAAAAUUACGUAGACGUAAAUAACUAUAAACUAACAAAUGUCGUCGUAAGGCCUUCAACAAUAGUCAAAACCGUUGCCGCAAAGCCAGCUAUAAAAACAGUCCUCUUCCUUAUCUUUUUGUAUUUCUGUUUGCACACCUUGUCUAUUCCACAUGGGAAAGGAAGAUGUAUUCAUAUAUCGUGUCUUUUGCAUAUUUUGUGCGUUUUUAUAAAAAAAAAAUUAAAGCAAAACAGUUUCAAUCGAAUAACACCCAUCCUUUCUCUUGAUUUAACAACGAAAACGGGCGAACUGAUUUUACCGUCUUGGAAUAAUCCAUAACAGGGUGAAAUUCAAUACUAAAUACUAAUGCAUUUUAAUGCAAGUAAAAUGCAAGACUUAGUGUGGUUGAUAUCGAUAACGGACAAGCAGCCCAAAAAGAAAAAUAGAUAUACAUAUAAGUAAAGUAUACAAUAAGUUGGAUCAAUUAUAUAUACGGACAGAAAUUAAUAAAAAAAAAAACAUAGCAAGUUAAUGCAUUCACUAUAAAUUAAUGCUGAUGAAGCAUUGAUCUUUAAGACUCCGUCACCAUAUGGUAAAAAAAGUGAUGACACGAACGUCUAUCGCCGGCGGGAGAUACCGUAUCUGUUUUUAUGUAUUUUAGAAGCUAAUUAGAAUCACGGUAACAUCUGCAAUAAUUGAAUGUUUUUAAAAAUCGUGUUCUAUGUAUCGGCG
RNAcentral lists this long non-coding RNA (806 nucleotides) under Mytilus galloprovincialis (Mediterranean mussel). The record is from RNAcentral. Lineage: Eukaryota; Metazoa; Mollusca; Bivalvia; Mytilida; Mytilidae.